Molecule: long non-coding RNA, 688 nt
Organism: Triticum dicoccoides
Lineage: Eukaryota; Viridiplantae; Streptophyta; Magnoliopsida; Poales; Poaceae
Exons: 3
Source: RefSeq, a predicted model, not a curated record
CUGAACUGCACAUUUUCUAUUCCUCUAACCCUGAUGCGCUGCCGUUCCUUCGUCCACGACGCGCCGCCGCCGUUGUCCGUCCCGCUGGCGAGAAGAUUGGUCAUCCUUCUUUUCUUCCCUUUUCUGGGUCCCGUUCUCUCCUCCGGCGCGCGCGCGCGAAACUUAAUCCCGCCCUUGCGUUCGCUGGCGGCGAUGGAUGACCUCAGAUGCCAUCAUGCCAAUGCCAUGGAAUACUCUUCCCACCUUCCGUGACGGGUUCAAAUCGAGGGGAUGGGUAAAGCACCCGCUAAUACUAAUAUUGGCAAUAUUGUGUUCGACAUCAUCUUGGCCCCAGAAGAAUAUUUACAUACAGAUGAACAUGUAGCCAAUCUUCUGCACAGGUUAUAGAAGAAGCUCAUCUUCCGAUAUUCUAAAGCUCAUCUUGUGGUUCAUUAUAGGUAUAACAUGGUUAUUGUUUGUUCAAUCAAAUGGUCAGCCUAAGAUCCUUGAGCUUUAAGUCCAUGUCCUAUCACAAUAAAGGCAUAUGUUUUUGCAUAUUUCUCUCUUGUAUGUUCAAGUGCAAAUAUAGAUCAUGGUGUUGAUAUUAUUUUUUUUGCUUUGGAAUUGGAUGUUAUCUUUUGCUGGUAAUAUAUUUGUGCUAGAACAAAAACUGAUGUCAAGUUUUUUUUAUUCUAAUUGUUAAACCGAU